GACGAACGCUGGCGGCGUGCUUAACACAUGCAAGUCGAACGGAAAGGCCCUGCUUUUGUGGGGUGCUCGAGUGGCGAACGGGUGAGUAACACGUGAGUAACCUGCCCUUGACUUUGGGAUAACUUCAGGAAACUGGGGCUAAUACCGGAUAGGAGCUCCUGCUGCAUGGUGGGGGUUGGAAAGUUUCGGCGGUUGGGGAUGGACUCGCGGCUUAUCAGCUUGUUGGUGGGGUAGUGGCUUACCAAGGCUUUGACGGGUAGCCGGCCUGAGAGGGUGACCGGCCACAUUGGGACUGAGAUACGGCCCAGACUCCUACGGGAGGCAGCAGUGGGGAAUAUUGCACAAUGGGCGGAAGCCUGAUGCAGCAACGCCGCGUGCGGGAUGACGGCCUUCGGGUUGUAAACCGCUUUCGCCUGUGACGAAGCGUGAGUGACGGUAAUGGGUAAAGAAGCACCGGCUAACUACGUGCCAGCAGCCGCGGUGAUACGUAGGGUGCGAGCGUUGUCCGGAUUUAUUGGGCGUAAAGGGCUCGUAGGUGGUUGAUCGCGUCGGAAGUGUAAUCUUGGGGCUUAACCCUGAGCGUGCUUUCGAUACGGGUUGACUUGAGGAAGGUAGGGGAGAAUGGAAUUCCUGGUGGAGCGGUGGAAUGCGCAGAUAUCAGGAGGAACACCAGUGGCGAAGGCGGUUCUCUGGGCCUUUCCUGACGCUGAGGAGCGAAAGCGUGGGGAGCGAACAGGCUUAGAUACCCUGGUAGUCCACGCUGUAAACGGUGGGUACUAGGUGUGGGGUCCAUUCCACGGGUUCCGUGCCGUAGCUAACGCUUUAAGUACCCCGCCUGGGGAGUACGGCCGCAAGGCUAAAACUCAAAGGAAUUGACGGGGCCCCGCACAAGCGGCGGAGCAUGCGGAUUAAUUCGAUGCAACGCGUAGAACCUUACCUGGGUUUGACAUGGAUCGGGAGUGCUCAGAGAUGGGUGUGCCUCUUUUAGGGUCGGUUCACAGGUGGUGCAUGGCUGUCGUCAGCUCGUGUCGUGAGAUGUUGGGUUAAGUCCCGCAACGAGCGCAACCCUUGUUCACUGUUGCCAGCACGUUAUGGUGGGGACUCAGUGGAGACCGCCGGGGUCAACUCGGAGGAAGGUGGGGAUGACGUCAAGUCAUCAUGCCCCUUAUGUCCAGGGCUUCACGCAUGCUACAAUGGCUGGUACAGAGAGUGGCGAGCCUGUGAGGGUGAGCGAAUCUCGGAAAGCCGGUCUCAGUUCGGAUUGGGGUCUGCAACUCGACCUCAUGAAGUCGGAGUCGCUAGUAAUCGCAGAUCAGCAACGCUGCGGUGAAUACGUUCCCGGGGCU
Molecule: ribosomal RNA, 1346 nt
Filed under: uncultured bacterium
Lineage: Bacteria
Description: partial 16S ribosomal RNA
Rfam family: Bacterial small subunit ribosomal RNA
Source: RNAcentral